Molecule: long non-coding RNA, 406 nt
Organism: Zonotrichia leucophrys gambelii
Lineage: Eukaryota; Metazoa; Chordata; Aves; Passeriformes; Passerellidae
Exons: 3
Source: RefSeq, a predicted model, not a curated record
GGCUACCAAAAAAGAAGGCAUGGAUACAACACACCUCAAAACUGUCUUGACAGGAGUGUGUGUAUGUAUGUAUGUAUGCAGAAUGACAUGAGCAUACCCAAAGGCAUGGGAGGAAGUAAUUAAGAAAAAUAUCUCUAAGUGCCAGGUCUUGGAAGGUCUCGACUUCUUAAUUUAUAAACUCCUACUGAAGUCAACAGACUUACAGCCAUCCAGCAAGUGUUCACAGAAUGGUAAUCUGUAUUUUAGAGUUAAAUAAAAAAAUUACAUUGAGACAUAUUUGGGACUAGUAGGAGAGGUGAGACUGUAAAGCAUGAAAAAAGGUGUGACUCAUUUAAGUGUUUGAAUGAAAAGAGGAAUAGGCAUAGAGCAAUAUGGAAUAGUUAUUGAAGACCACAGAAGCUGUGAA